CCCUUAGAUGUUCUGGGCCGCACGCGCGCUACACUGACGAAGUCAGCGAGCAUGUCCUACGCCGACAGGUGCGGGGAAUCUUGUCAAACUUCGUCGUGAUGGGGAUUGAUUAUUGAAAUUCUUGAUCAUCAACGAGGAAUUCCUAGUAAGCGCAAGUUAGCAGCUUGCGUUGAUUACGUCCCUGCCCUUUGUACACACCGCCCGUCGCUACUACCGAUUGAAUGGUUUAGUGAGAUCUUCGGAUUGGCGCCACUGCGGCUCAGCAAUGGGCUCGGUGGAUGCCGAAAAGUUGAUCAAACUUGAUCAUUUAGAGGAAGUAAAAGUCGUAACA
Molecule: ribosomal RNA, 331 nt
Filed under: uncultured eukaryote
Lineage: Eukaryota
Description: partial 18S ribosomal RNA
Rfam family: Eukaryotic small subunit ribosomal RNA
Source: RNAcentral